GAGGAAGUUUCUCGGGUUGAGCCAGGAAUCCCUGGCUGCUUCUCACUCUGCCACAGUCCUUAGGGAGCCCCAGGUGCCAGGCUUUGGGGACACAGCAGAGUAUCACAUGGACACAACUGCUGCCCCAUGGAACUUGCCACCUAGACGGAGAGAGAGACAAAAACCAGUCAACAAAGCUACAGCGUGGCAUCAGAGUAAGGGCAGAGGGAGUGCACGAAUUAUCUACGGCUGCAUUAUGAAUUACCCAGAACCCAGUGGUGCAGAGCGGCUCUGGCUCAGAGCCGCCCAUGAGGAGGACGCCAAGAUCAGCCAGAGCUCCCGUUUCCUCUGACGGCUCAACCGGGGCUGAAGGAUCCCCCAAAGGCGGCUCGCGAACAUGCCCGGCCAGUCAGCACUGGGUGCCGGCAGGAACCCCAGCUCCCCUCCACGGGCGCCUCUCCAGAAGGCGGCUGAGCAUCCUGACAACGUGACGGCUGGUCCCACUCUCACUUCAAGAUUCUCUAAGGAUCCCUGACCAGGUCCCACCGAGAAGAGGGCACUUCUGUAAUCACGCCACCACGACCGCACCCAAGAAACCCGUCAUCGUCAUCCAUGCAGCAACAUCAUCUAACAGACAUUUCACGUGCGCCCAGUGGUCCCAAACGUGUCCUAUAAGCUGUUAUUUAUUUUUUUUUUAAAUCCAGGAUCGUGUGUCACAUUUGGUUUUCACAGCUCUUUCGCCUUCUUUUACGUGGAACAUCCCCUCACCAUUUUUCUUCCUCUGGGCCAUUGCUUCAAAACAGGCAUUUUUGCAGCGUGCGGACCAAUUGUAGAAUGCCCCACAAGCGGGGCGUGUCCAGCCACGUCCUCACGCUCAGAUUCAGGGUAAAGGUUUGGGGCCAUCACGUCACAGACAUAUGUGCUUCCCAUCUCAUCUCUUCAGCGGACACAGGGGCCCUCUUGGUCCCAUUAUUCGGGUGCUAAGUAGGUCAGCCGGUGAAGGUGGGGUCCGCCAGGUCUACCCUUUUCCUAGUGUAAAUGCUACAUAAUCUGCGGAGGGACACUUGGGGACUGUGUCAACGUGCCAUUCCCGGCAAACUUUUACUCAGUAAUUUUGGCAUCCAUCAACGCCCCUUGCCAGAAUCAAAUGUUGCAGCAGUGGUUGCAGCAUGGAAAUAUUUUUUAAAUUUAUCAUUCUUUUUUUUUAGACUUAUUAGUCGAUAUUCUUCGCUAAAGGCAAGCUUCCCACUGCCCCCCUCUUUUUUAUUUCAUAUGUUAUCCAUUAGUAUUUGUUUUAUGCUCAAAUUGUCCCAGAUUUGGCCAGCAGGAGCCCCUUCAAGCUGGCCCUUGGGGUCCUUUCGCAUGUGUCUCCCUCCUUCUUUGAGAAUUUCCUUACUUUUUGCUACAAUAGAAUGUUCCAGGCUCAUCUCGUAUUUUCUUUGCUCCAACCCUGGACUCAGCCAUCUCUCCAGGACCUCCUGGUUCCCUUCAGUGGAGAAUGGUCUUUAGAAACCAAGGUAUGAGUCCGAGGUGUGCCCAUUCCCGCCAGGAGGUCGCUGUUUCUGGAUCUUUCAGAGAAGAGCAGAUACACACGAGCCCAUCGUGAUGCCUCUGAUUCAAAUCCAGCGUCACGAGCUUCUUGCUCUAGUCCCCAUUCCUUACUCCCGCCUCUCGGAUUCUGCUGUGAGAACCCUGUUUCCCCAACUGUCAAAAUAUUUCCUCCUUUGUUCUGUCCUACAAGCCACACGAAAUAGUUUCAGAACUCUGCCAAUGCAACCGUCAACAACCACCUAUUUAUUACGGCUCAAGAUUUCUUUGAGGUUCUUCUUGACUUAGGAGCAUCUUCAGUUAAGAGGCUUCAGUUAAAGGACCGUGUUCAGAGGCUGCUUGAACUAACCCCUUUCUGUGUGGGUAGAUUCUUGGAUUAUCAGUUGCUGCUUAACAAACGACCCAAAACUUAGCGGCUUAAAACACCAGGAUGUGUUAGCCUGUGGAUGCAGGUGUGGCUUCCCCGGGCUCUCUGCUGCAGGGUGUCCCGCAGGCCUCAGCCAGGGUGUCGGUCAGAGCUGGGACCCUCUGGGGGCCUGACCGGGUGGGGGAAAGUCCACCCCCCUCACGUGACUGUUGGCAGGACCCAGUGCCUUGAGGGCGUUGGGCUGAAGGUCCCGGUUUCUCUCUGGCUGUUGGUCAGAGGCCACUCAGUUCGUUGCCGGGUGGGCCUCUCCAUCAAGAUGAGCAGGUGCGCGGAGCCACAAAUCAAGAGAGCCCGCAAGACAGAAGUCACAGCUUUCUAGAACCUCCUCUCUGAAGGGGCGUCCCAUCACCUGUGUCAUAGUCCGUUCGUGAGAAGGGAGUCAUGGGGUCCAGCCCUCGUUCCAGGGGAGGGAAUUAUACAAGCACGUGAGUUCCAGGAACCGGGGGGUCCUUGGGAGCCAGAAGUCUGCCCCCCAGCGUUAUCGAUUGAUAGAUAGUUAGGUUCCUUUGUUUUUAUUCGUGUUCAGUUUUAGGGGCUACUGUCUUUGCAACGCUUUUGAUUGAAUUUUAUCUUUGAAUCUGUAAAAUAUUUCUGUGGUUC
Molecule: long non-coding RNA, 2554 nt
Organism: Equus caballus (horse)
Lineage: Eukaryota; Metazoa; Chordata; Mammalia; Perissodactyla; Equidae
Source: Ensembl